CUCCUCUUCCGCGCUCUGCCUCCUUGAAUGGGGCCGGGGGGGCAAGAGUAUGGCGCUGCCCACCACGUUGGGGAGGAAGGCGCGCCCUGAGUAGGAGGCGCGCCGCUGGGGGCCCGCCAGGCACAUCUGCGACACCACCGACAUCCGCCUGCACCGGGACAGCGCCGUCUCCGCCUGCGGUGAGUUUGGCGUGGCCGAGAAUCCUUUCUGCACUAAGAAUUGCUGUGUAUCUGCCACAGAAUCUCAGCGUGUUGGAGAGGUUUCUGGGCAAUGCUGAAGGGUGUCCAUCAUCAUCCCACUUGAAUGGUGAGUGAGCCAGGCGAGGAGAACAAGGCAUUUUACAAAGGAUUAUCUGGCUAUUACUGAGAAGCUCCAGUUUUACUAAAUAGUAAUUAUGUGUUGUCUUUGUAUAGCACUUUCAAGUGUUCGAAAUGUUUCAGAACCAUUAUGUAGUUGUAAUCCCAAAAGCAACUCUGCAAGGCAAUUCAGUAUUAUUCCUCAGAGUACAAAUAGAGAAGCUGAAUUGGCUUGCUUAAGGUCUCCUUGUGAGUUAAUGGCAGAAGUGGCCAGUGCUGGAUUUACAUAUAAGCCAGGGGUCAGUAAACUUUUUUCAGCAGGGGGCCGGUCCACUGUCCCUCAGACCUUGUGGGGGGCCGGGCUACAUUUUGAAGAAAAAUAUGAACGAAUUCCUAUGUACCACAAAUAACCCAGAGAUGCAUUUUAAAUAAAAGGACACAUUCUACUCAUGUAAAAAAUGCUGAUUCCAGGACCGUCCGUGGGCCGGAUUUAGAAGGUGAUUGGGCCGCAUCCAGCCCCUGGGGCUUAGUUUGGGGACCCCUGAUAUAAGCUAAACAAACUAUAGCUUAGGGCCCAGUGGGCCCCCCAAAAAAAUUUAAAGGAAAAAACCUGGAUGUACAUUUCCAAAAUAUAAAGUACAAAUUAAAAUAAAACCUACAUACAGCAACAGUGUUUUGUGUUGUGUAGGCUCCUAUGAUGUAAGUAAUGGACCCCACCUGCCAGCUUGCUCCCUAAAAUAUCACUGGUUUGCUCAUUUCAAUAUAUAGGGUGCCUCCAUUCUGCAUGGACUGGUUGCAUGGCAACAUGCGCAAAUGGCUUUAGAUACCCAUUAGGUCCAUAAAUUACCAAAUACUGUAGCAUAUAUUCAACACCCCCCCCCCCAAAAAAAGCGACAAUUUGUUGUUGACAAAGGACAGCUGGACAAAUAAAGGGCCCCAUUACCUUCAGUGGCUUAGGGCCUCAUCAAACCUAAAUCCAGCCCUGGAAGUGAAAAUUGAGCUCGGAACUCACCAAUCCAUAGCUGAGUCUUUUAGCCACUAUGUUGUUGUUGUUGUUUAGUCGUUUAGUCGUGUCCGACUCUUCGUGACCCCAUGGACCAUAGCACGCCAGGCACUCCUGUCUUGCACUGCCUCCCGCAGUUUGGUCAAACUCAUGUUCGUAGCUUCGAGAACACUGUCCAACCAUCUCAUCCUCUGUCGUCCCCUUCUCCUUGUGCCCUCCAUCUUUCCCAACAUCAGGGUCUUUUCCAGGGAGUCUUCUCUUCUCAUGAGGUGGCCAAAGUAUUGGAGCCUCAGCUUCACGAUCUGUCCUUCCAGUGAGCCACUAUACUAGGGCGCAAUCCCAAAACCCUGAACCAGCAUGGCUAAACUAGGUUUGUUUCAUUUGCGCUGAUUAUAUAUUGUCAACCCUAGUGUAUUUGAUAGGGACACUGUACUGUUUGGUUUAACAAAUUUGUCCUUCAGGCAAAAAUAAAAUAAAAAAAAUCGGAACAUCAUUCUUUUGCAGUUACAUGUGUUUCUAAUUUCUUUAAGCUUUUGGAGCUAACUGAAAAUUAAAUAAAAGCUGUCAUGCAUUAUUAGAAAGAAAGAAAGAAAGAAAGAAAGAAAGAAAGAAAGAAAGAAAGAGUCACUUUUCAUUUCAAUGCCCUCUUAAUGUUAACAAAUCAAAACAGCCUAAGAAAAAGCAUAUUGUGAACUCACAAAGCCCCAUCAAUUAAAUAAUGUGCCCUCUUUAAAAUGGAACCUACCAAUCUAAUACACUAAUGGCUUUAAUAAAUUAAUCUACCAAUUAAAGUUGGAAGCCCCAAGAAAAAGGAGGAGGGGGAGAGAGCAGGUUGGUUGUGGACUUGUUCCCAUUUUAGAUAAAAAAUAGCAGGAAUUGUGAGGGCAGCAAAAACAAGCCUAGUCUACACAUGCAGUGCACUGAGGUCAUAGAAGUCCAAGGUGGUUCAACAGAUCAUAAAGGUAAAGGUACCCCUGACCGUUAGGUCCAGUCGCGGACGACUCUGGGGUUGCGGCGCUCAUCUCUCUUUACUGGCUGAGGGAGCCGGCGUACAGCUUCCAGGUCAUGUGGCCAGCAUGACUAAGCCGCUUCUGGCAAACCAGAGCAGCGCACAGAAACACCGUUUACCUUCCCACCGGAGCAGUACCUAUUUAUCUACUUGCACUUUGACGUGCUUUCGAACUGCUAGGUUGGCAGGAGCUGGGACCAAACAAUGGGAGCUAGCCCCAUCAUGGGGAUUCGUACCGCCGACCUUCUGAUCGGCAAGCCCUAGGCUCUGUGGUUUAACCCACAGCACCACUCACGUUCCGUUCAACAGAUCAUAACGGUGCCCAAAUAGCAAGGUGUCUCUAUGCACAAGGCCCAUUCCUCUGACUCACCCUGCCCCAUGGCUCAAUUAAAUCAUGCCCUCUAAGAAUGACAGCUAGUUGAGAGGGGUGUGCCUUUUGUAUCUUCUCAAUCUCUGCAAUUUGAACACUGAAUUGUACAAUGGACAGUAUUAUGGGAGGAUUGUAUUAUUAUUUUUAAUGCUUUUGGGUGGGUGGUGGGAAUUUCCAUGCAAACAGAAAGACUAGCCCUGUAGAGAACAAGCUAAGUUUAUACUUCAUCUCCCCCAUCUGGCAUGCUGUGCUUUACUUGCAGAGCGGGUGAUCAAUAAAAAUUGCUUCCCUCAAAAUUAAAUUUUCUGCAUAUUAAUCUUGUUUUCUACGUGCAGCAGGCCUUUGCUUUUGUUUUCAGGAUGGAGAACCACGCAUGCAAAACCACACCUGCACUUUGAAGUACUGAAGCUUCAACAGAGAUACAGUGCCUCAGUGAAUUUAUGGCUCAAAUGAUAGGUGACGUUAAUGGCGUGCACUUCCUUCCCCCCCAAUCCCCCCCCUUAUUUUUAAGCUAAUGCAGCUGUCUGGGCUGCAAUCUUGAAAAGACGACCAGCAAUUUUGGGGGGUUGGGGGAGAAACACACACACACACAGGGGGGGGGCAUGUAACAGACACUUUAAUCACUUCAUUUGGUGCUUUUCUUUCUCCAAAAUUACCCCUCCAUACAUAACCUUUUCUCUUUUCCUCCCACAGUCAUCUGGCCUAAGAACAGCUCUAGAGUGAUCUGGAAGCUGAAAACCAGAAUAAAAGAUUAAGAUGACCAUCUCAACUCCCUUGAUGUGGUCUCUCACUAGAGGUUGCAGCUUGUAUGACUGUUACAGGGGGGGGGGAGAGAACCCAAAGAAAAUGAGGGCAGGGAGGAAAGUGGACAGCACACAUGCAGACUUUGAGCUCAGUAUCACAACCCUAUGCAUGUUUACUCAGAAGUCUGUAUCCCAGGGGGAAUAUUCCUUAGUAACUGAGUUUAGAAGUGCGACCUUGAUUUCCGUUUCCAGAACUAUUUUCUACCCUUGCUUUCAGCCAGGCAUCCCCAAACUUCGGCCCUCCAGAUGUUUUGGACUACAAUCCCCAUCAUCCCUGACCACUGGUCCUCUUAGCUAGGGAUCAUGGGAGUUGUAGGCCAAAACAUCUGGAGGGCCGCAGUUUGGGGAUGCCUGUUCAGCCAUUCGGUUUUCAGGGGAAUCUUAGAAAGAAAGAAAGAAAGAAAGAAAGAAAGAAAGAAAGAAAGAAAGAAAGAAAGAAAGAAAGAAAGAAAGAAAGAAAGAAACACUUCUGAAAUAGUUCCGCCAAUUCCAAGAUUACACCGUUUCAAUUGAGUAGCAUCUCAAACACUAUCUACAGGUUUGUUUGUUCGUUUUGCCACAAAACAAUGGAGAGCUUCUGGCCUGCAGUUAUUUGCAGAUAGGUUUCCCAGAUGAAAUAGUUUAAAUUGUGGCGAAACAGUUUUCUGCAACUGUGAAAUCCCACUAGCAUUUCUGAUCUGAACUCGAAAGCUUACCCAAUCAAAUCACAAUUGCUUGGAAUUUGUGUGCAAAUGAUCCAUCUAUAUUACCAGUUGGGACUCUCUUUGCAUCAAAGAUAUUACCUUGGAGAAGAUCUCUGCAGUAAACCUGGAAACAUGUGGACUUUUUAUCUUCCCUUUACCUAGGGGUGGGAAACUUGCCCACCCCACCCCCCAUUUAAUAGUCAGUUAGUUAAUCAGGGCCUGCAGCUAACAGUGGGUUGAGUCAAAGCCCCAAAUGGGAAGUUUGCAACAUUGUGCAGCUCUCUCGAGCAGUGUCCCUCAACCUUUUAAACCCUCGCCCCCAUUUAACUAUUAUAAAAUUCCCACGCUCCCCCUCAAAUAUGGGUCCCUCAAUUAUUUUAUUUGAAUUUUUUAAAUGAUUGAAAUAUUGUGACUUUAGUUUUGACUUAUAUUGUACAUAUUUUGGGGGGAAACACUCAGCCCCUUGCCGAAAUCUUCAUAUACACACCUCCUGGGGUAGGUGGGCCUCAUUGGAUGAGAAACACAGCUGCAGAGUCUAAAUCGUAAUAACUUUUUAAAAAGACACACCACCUGCGGUCUGAAGCAGUCCAAUUCAUGCUACCACUUCAUUCUGCCGAAUGCACAGGCGUAUGGAUGAACCCUUUUUUAGAUGAGACUGUAGUAAGGUAUACUUUCUUUGUCACAAAACACAAGCACAUUCCCAAGGAUAGUGAAUAUGAUUGAUGAGUGGCGGAAGAGAGAGAAAGCUGGGCUGUGAAGAAUCCUAUUAGCUAUCAGCAGUGUUCAAGGUUUCGUUGACACGUAAACCCCUAAACGACGUGGGACCAGAAUACAGUGGUACCCCAGAAGUCGAACAGAAUCCGUUCCAGAAGUCCAUUCAACUUCCAAAAUGUUCGGAAACCAAGGCGUGGCUUCCGGUUGGCUACAGGAAGCUCCUGCAGCCAAUUGGAAGCCGUGUCGGACGUCGAGGUUCCAAAUAAUGGCCGCAAACUGGUUUGCGGCGUUUGGGAGCCAAAAUGUUUGACUCGCAAGGCGUUCGGGAUCCAAGGUAUGACUGUACCUAGCAGACUGCCUCUCCAGGUACCGGAGGCGAAGGAGACUGUGACCAGCAGGUGACAAUGCAGACGCAAGUCUUCUUGGAGAUAGCAAGCCACGCUAUGGAAUAUUUUCCCUCAGGUAAUUUGUGAAGCAGUGACGAAGUUUGUCUUUCCCGGUGGCAUUUUAUUUUUAUUUUGUUUUCUGGACUGCUCAUUCUUGCUUGUUAUUUUGCUUUGAUAUUCUCUUUAGGAAAUUUUUUUUAAUGCUGCGAUUUCGCUGGCUUUUUGUAAACUGCUUAGAGGUUGUUCUUUUUUAAAAAUUCUAUUAUGCGCUGGGAUUGUUUUAUAAAUAAAAUGGGGGGGGGAGGAAUGACAAGGAUUAUGCAAGAAGAAAACACCCACCUGCUCAUACUUCACAGAGACUGCAUAAGGACCUGCAUUCCCCUUCUACCGAAAACAGGAUACCCACCUGUCCAUUAUGUCAAGAAGAAGAAAAAACCAGGACCCUUCAGAACAGUGGAACCUUGGUUCUCAAAUGCCUUGGUACUCAAACAACUUGGAACCCAAACACUGCAAACCCAGAAGUAAGUGUUCCGGUUUGUGAACUAUUUUCGGAAGCCGAACGUGCUCCGUUUUGAGUGCCACAUUUUGAGUGUUACACUGAGGUCUGUUUGUUUUUGCUAUUUAUUUUGCGUUUUUGUUAUUGCAGGGUUUUGUUUGUUUGUUUUUGUGACUGCGUGGAACCCAGUUCAGCUACUGAUUGAUUGUGCGACUGCAGUACAUUGAAUUACUGCUUUAAUUUUAUGGCUCAAUGGUCUCGUUAGAUAGUAAAAUUCAUGUUAAAUUGCUGUUUUAGGGGUUGUUUUUAAAAGUCUGGAAUCCAUUUCGCAUUACUUUCUAUGGGAAAGCGCGCCUUGGUUUUGGAACGGACUUCUGGAACAGAUUAAGUUCGGGAAUCAAGGUACCACUUUUCCACACAAACGCCCCCCCCCCAAUGCUGCAGCCCCAAGUGUCAGGAAACAUUUUUUGUUUUGUUUUCGCACUACACAUAGCAUGAGAACUUGUACGCAAAACAGACUUGUCACACAAAAAGAUACAUUUUAUUUCAACUAUCUCUCUAAAUACAGUUUGGCAGGAUCAGUUUUUCACAGGAGCAAUUGUAUUAAAAAAAUAUUUCAUUCCGAAAUACUACUCUCUGAGGUAAUAUUAUAGGCACUUUUGAGUAGACAUAGUUAGGAUUCUGUUGCAAGGCACAUUUAU
This is a non-coding RNA of Zootoca vivipara (common lizard), 6461 nucleotides long. NCBI's taxonomy places the organism in Eukaryota, Metazoa, Chordata, Lepidosauria, Squamata, Lacertidae. The record is from RefSeq and is a predicted model, not a curated record.